This is a non-coding RNA of Strongyloides papillosus, 64 nucleotides long. NCBI's taxonomy places the organism in Eukaryota, Metazoa, Nematoda, Chromadorea, Rhabditida, Strongyloididae. The record is from Rfam.
GGCCUGUUAGCUUAAGUAUAAAGCGUCUGACUUUUAAUCGGAUGAUGGUUUAGUCCACGGGCUA